CCCGUCACACCAUGGGAGGAGCAUGUAUCCGAAGUCGCUAACUCAACCCGCAAGGGAGAGGAGUGCCUAAGGUAUGUGCACUGACUGGGGUG
Molecule: ribosomal RNA, 92 nt
Filed under: uncultured bacterium
Lineage: Bacteria
Description: partial 16S ribosomal RNA
Source: RNAcentral